This 254-nucleotide ribosomal RNA is filed under the name uncultured bacterium. RNAcentral's name for it is "partial 16S ribosomal RNA". It matches the Rfam family "Bacterial small subunit ribosomal RNA", at positions 524 to 776 of the family's 1533-position model. The record is from RNAcentral.
UACGGGGGGUGCGAGCGUUGUCCGGAAUCACUGGGCGUAAAGGGCGCGUAGGUGGUCUGAUAAGGGUGUGGUGAAAGCCCGGGGCUCAACCCCGGGUCGGCCGUGCCGACUGUUAGACUAGAGUGCUGUAGGGGCAGGCGGAAUUCCGGGUGUAGCGGUGGAAUGCGUAGAGAUCCGGAGGAAGACCGGUGGCGAAGGCAGCCCCCCUGGGCUAACACUGACGCUCAUGCACGAAAGCGUGGGGAGCAAACAGG